GCUUACGGCCACACCGGGCCUGAGUACGCCUUGAUCUCGUCCGAUCUCGGACGCUAAGCAGGGUCGGGCCUGUUAGUACUUGGAUGGGAGACCGCCCUGGGAAUACCAGGUGCUGUAAGCU
Molecule: ribosomal RNA, 121 nt
Filed under: Oncorhynchus mykiss (rainbow trout)
Lineage: Eukaryota; Metazoa; Chordata; Actinopteri; Salmoniformes; Salmonidae
Source: RNAcentral